Molecule: non-coding RNA, 88 nt
Organism: Emericellopsis atlantica
Lineage: Eukaryota; Fungi; Ascomycota; Sordariomycetes; Hypocreales; Bionectriaceae
Source: the annotation of a RefSeq genome assembly
GGUCCAUUAGUGUAGUGGUUAGCACGAAAGAUUUUGAUGCCUCUUCAAAACAUUUCUUUAGUCCCCGGUUCGAACCCGGGAUGGACCU